CCCUUAGAUGUUCUGGGCCGCACGCGCGCUACACUGACGAAGUCAGCGAGCAUGUCCUACGCCGACAGGUGCGGGGAAUCUUGUCAAACUUCGUCGUGAUGGGGAUUGAUUAUUGAAAUUCUUGAUCAUCAACGAGGAAUUCCUAGUAAGCGCAAGUCAGCAGCUUGCGUUGAUUACGUCCCUGCCCUUUGUACACACCGCCCGUCGCUACUAACGAUUGAAUGGUUUAGUGAGAUCUUCGGAUUGGCGCCACUGCGGCUCAGCAAUGGGCUCGGUGGAUGCCGAAAAGUUGAUCAAACUUGAUCAUUUAGAGGAAGUAAAAGUCGUAACA
RNAcentral lists this ribosomal RNA (331 nucleotides) under uncultured eukaryote. RNAcentral's name for it is "partial 18S ribosomal RNA". It matches the Rfam family "Eukaryotic small subunit ribosomal RNA", at positions 1470 to 1796 of the family's 1831-position model. The record is from RNAcentral.